AGAGUUUGAUCAUGGCUCAGAGCGAACGCUGGCGGCAGGCCUAACACAUGCAAGUCGAACGGAUCCUUCGGGAUUAGUGGCGGACGGGUGAGUAACACGUGGGAACGUGCCUUUUGGUUCGGAACAACUCAGGGAAACUUGAGCUAAUACCGGAUAAGCCUUUCGAGGGAAAGAUUUAUCGCCAUUAGAGCGGCCCGCGUAGGAUUAGCUAGUUGGUGGGGUAAAGGCCCACCAAGGCUACGAUCCUUAGCUGGUCUGAGAGGAUGAUCAGCCACAUUGGGACUGAGACACGGCCCAAACUCCUACGGGAGGCAGCAGUGGGGAAUCUUGCGCAAUGGGCGAAAGCCUGACGCAGCCAUGCCGCGUGAAUGAUGAAGGUCUUAGGAUUGUAAAAUUCUUUCACCGGGGACGAUAAUGACGGUACCCGGAGAAGAAGCCCCGGCUAACUUCGUGCCAGCAGCCGCGGUAAUACGAAGGGGGCUAGCGUUGCUCGGAAUUACUGGGCGUAAAGGGAGCGUAGGCGGAUAGUUUAGUCAGAGGUGAAAGCCCAGGGCUCAACCUUGGAAUUGCCUUUGAUACUGGCUAUCUUGAGUACGGAAGAGGUAUGUGGAACUCCGAGUGUAGAGGUGAAAUUCGUAGAUAUUCGGAAGAACACCAGUGGCGAAGGCGACAUACUGGUCCGUUACUGACGCUGAGGCUCGAAAGCGUGGGGAGCAAACAGGAUUAGAUACCCUAGUAGUCC
RNAcentral lists this ribosomal RNA (742 nucleotides) under uncultured bacterium. RNAcentral describes it as "bacterial SSU rRNA". It matches the Rfam family "Bacterial small subunit ribosomal RNA", at positions 8 to 796 of the family's 1533-position model. The record is from RNAcentral.